AUACGGAGGAUCCGAGCGUUAUCCGGAUUUAUUGGGUUUAAAGGGUGCUCAGGCGGGGGAUUAAGUCGGCGGUGAAAUUUUGCGGCUCAACCGUAAAAGUGCCUUCGAAACUGGUUUCCUUGAGUGUGGCUGAGGUAGGCGGAAUUUGUGGGGUAGCGGUGAAAUGCAUAGAUAUCACGAGGAACUCCGAUUGCGCAGGCAGCUUACUAAGCCAUAACUGACGCUCAAGCACGAAGGCGUGGGGAUCAAACAGGAUUAGAUACCCUGGUAGUCCACGCAGUAAACGAUGAUUACUGGCUGUUUGCGAUAUAAUGUAAGCGGCUGAGCGAAAGCGUUAAGUAAUCCACCUGGGGAGUACGUUCGCAAGAAUGAAACUCAAAUGAAUUGACGGGG
RNAcentral lists this ribosomal RNA (393 nucleotides) under uncultured bacterium. Its description in RNAcentral is "partial 16S ribosomal RNA". It matches the Rfam family "Bacterial small subunit ribosomal RNA", at positions 523 to 918 of the family's 1533-position model. The record is from RNAcentral.